CAUUAAGAAGCUAUGCAUCAGCGCUAGCCUUUUAAGCUGGAGAAGGGGACACCCUCCCCCUUAAUGA
This 67-nucleotide transfer RNA is filed under the name Scleroptila afra (grey-winged francolin). Its description in RNAcentral is "tRNA-Lys". The record is from RNAcentral. Lineage: Eukaryota; Metazoa; Chordata; Aves; Galliformes; Phasianidae.